UCGAGAAUCUUUCGCAAUGCCCGGAAGGGUGACGAAGCGACGCCGCGUGUGGGAAGAAGGCCUUCGGGUUGUAAACCACUGUCGGGAGUUAAGAAGUGUAAGGGGGUGAAUAGCCCUCUUACUUGACGUUAGCUCCGGAGGAAGCCACGGCUAACUCUGUGCCAGCAGCCGCGGUAAUACAGAGGUGGCAAGCGUUGUUCGGAAUUAUUGGGCGUAAAGAGCACGUAGGCGGCCCUACAAGUCAGCUGUGAAAUCCUUCUGCUCAACGGAAGAACGGCAGUUGAUACUAUAGGGCUGGAGUGCGGGAGGGGAGAGUGGAACUUCUGGUGGAGCGGUAAAAUGCGUAGAUAUCAGAAGGAACAUCGGCGGCGAAAGCGACUCUCUGGUCCAUAACUGACGCUGAGUGUGCGAAAGCUAGGGGAGCAAACGGGAUU
Molecule: ribosomal RNA, 434 nt
Filed under: uncultured Terriglobus sp.
Lineage: Bacteria; Pseudomonadati; Acidobacteriota; Terriglobia; Terriglobales; Acidobacteriaceae
Description: bacterial SSU rRNA
Rfam family: Bacterial small subunit ribosomal RNA
Source: RNAcentral